Molecule: ribosomal RNA, 1294 nt
Filed under: Staphylococcus aureus
Lineage: Bacteria; Bacillati; Bacillota; Bacilli; Caryophanales; Staphylococcaceae
Description: partial 23S ribosomal RNA
Rfam family: Bacterial large subunit ribosomal RNA
Source: RNAcentral
UGAUUUCACACUGCCGAGAAAAGCCUCUAGAUAGAAAAUAGGUGCCCGUACCGCAAACCGACACAGGUAGUCAAGAUGAGAAUUCUAAGGUGAGCGAGCGAACUCUCGUUAAGGAACUCGGCAAAAUGACCCCGUAACUUCGGGAGAAGGGGUGCUCUUUAGGGUUAACGCCCAGAAGAGCCGCAGUGAAUAGGCCCAAGCGACUGUUUAUCAAAAACACAGGUCUCUGCUAAACCGUAAGGUGAUGUAUAGGGGCUGACGCCUGCCCGGUGCUGGAAGGUUAAGAGGAGUGGUUAGCUUCUGCGAAGCUACGAAUCGAAGCCCCAGUAAACGGCGGCCGUAACUAUAACGGUCCUAAGGUAGCGAAAUUCCUUGUCGGGUAAGUUCCGACCCGCACGAAAGGCGUAACGAUUUGGGCACUGUCUCAACGAGAGACUCGGUGAAAUCAUAGUACCUGUGAAGAUGCAGGUUACCCGCGACAGGACGGAAAGACCCCGUGGAGCUUUACUGUAGCCUGAUAUUGAAAUUCGGCACAGCUUGUACAGGAUAGGUAGGAGCCUUUGAAACGUGAGCGCUAGCUUACGUGGAGGCGCUGGUGGGAUACUACCCUAGCUGUGUUGGCUUUCUAACCCGCACCACUUAUCGUGGUGGGAGACAGUGUCAGGCGGGCAGUUUGACUGGGGCGGUCGCCUCCUAAAAGGUAACGGAGGCGCUCAAAGGUUCCCUCAGAAUGGUUGGAAAUCAUUCAUAGAGUGUAAAGGCAUAAGGGAGCUUGACUGCGAGACCUACAAGUCGAGCAGGGUCGAAAGACGGACUUAGUGAUCCGGUGGUUCCGCAUGGAAGGGCCAUCGCUCAACGGAUAAAAGCUACCCCGGGGAUAACAGGCUUAUCUCCCCCAAGAGUUCACAUCGACGGGGAGGUUUGGCACCUCGAUGUCGGCUCAUCGCAUCCUGGGGCUGUAGUCGGUCCCAAGGGUUGGGCUGUUCGCCCAUUAAAGCGGUACGCGAGCUGGGUUCAGAACGUCGUGAGACAGUUCGGUCCCUAUCCGUCGUGGGCGUAGGAAAUUUGAGAGGAGCUGUCCUUAGUACGAGAGGACCGGGAUGGACAUACCUCUGGUGUACCAGUUGUCGUGCCAACGGCAUAGCUGGGUAGCUAUGUGUGGACGGGAUAAGUGCUGAAAGCAUCUAAGCAUGAAGCCCCCCUCAAGAUGAGAUUUCCCAACUUCGGUUAUAAGAUCCCUCAAAGAUGAUGAGGUUAAUAGGUUCGAGGUGGAAGCAUGGUGACAUGUGGAGCU